Molecule: ribosomal RNA, 912 nt
Filed under: Psychrobacter sp. K4-4-028
Lineage: Bacteria; Pseudomonadati; Pseudomonadota; Gammaproteobacteria; Moraxellales; Moraxellaceae
Description: bacterial SSU rRNA
Rfam family: Bacterial small subunit ribosomal RNA
Source: RNAcentral
UUAACACAUGCAAGUCGAGCGGAAACGAUGAUAGCUUGCUAUCAGGCGUCGAGCGGCGGACGGGUGAGUAAUACUUAGGAAUCUACCUAGUAGUGGGGGAUAGCUCGGGGAAACUCGAAUUAAUACCGCAUACGUCCUACGGGAGAAAGCAGGGGAUCUUUAGACCUUGCGCUAUUAGAUGAGCCUAAGUCGGAUUAGCUAGAUGGUGGGGUAAAGGCCUACCAUGGCGACGAUCUGUAGCUGGUCUGAGAGGAUGAUCAGCCACACCGGGACUGAGACACGGCCCGGACUCCUACGGGAGGCAGCAGUGGGGAAUAUUGGACAAUGGGGGGAACCCUGAUCCAGCCAUGCCGCGUGUGUGAAGAAGGCCUUUUGGUUGUAAAGCACUUUAAGCAGUGAAGAAGACUCUUCGGUUAAUACCCGGGGACGAUGACAUUAGCUGCAGAAUAAGCACCGGCUAACUCUGUGCCAGCAGCCGCGGUAAUACAGAGGGUGCAAGCGUUAAUCGGAAUUACUGGGCGUAAAGCGAGCGUAGGUGGCUUGAUAAGUCAGAUGUGAAAUCCCCGGGCUUAACCUGGGAACUGCAUCUGAAACUGUUAGGCUAGAGUAGGUGAGAGGGAAGUAGAAUUUCAGGUGUAGCGGUGAAAUGCGUAGAGAUCUGAAGGAAUACCGAUGGCGAAGGCAGCUUCCUGGCAUCAUACUGACACUGAGGCUCGAAAGCGUGGGUAGCAAACAGGAUUAGAUACCCUGGUAGUCCACGCCGUAAACGAUGUCUACUAGUCGUUGGGUCCCUUGAGGACUUAGUGACGCAGCUAACGCAAUAAGUAGACCGCCUGGGGAGUACGGCCGCAAGGUUAAAACUCAAAUGAAUUGACGGGGGCCCGCACAAGCGGUGGAGCAUGUGGUUUAAUU